This 327-nucleotide ribosomal RNA is filed under the name uncultured eukaryote. RNAcentral describes it as "partial 18S ribosomal RNA". It matches the Rfam family "Eukaryotic small subunit ribosomal RNA", at positions 1470 to 1796 of the family's 1831-position model. The record is from RNAcentral.
CCCUUAGAUGUUCUGGGCCGCACACGCGCUACACUGAAGGAGGCAGCGUGUACUCCUGGAUCGAAAGAUUUGGUUAACCCGCGAAUCUCCUUCGUGCUAGGGAUUGAGGUUUGCAAUUAUCCUUCAUGAACGAGGAAUUCCCAGUAAGUGCAAGUCAUAAGCUUGCGCUGACUACGUCCCUGCCCUUUGUACACACCGCCCGUCGCUACUACCGAUUGAAUGAUUUAGUGAGGACUUCGGACUGGGACCGAUGCGGCUUUCGGGCUGCGUCGGUAUUCUGGAAAGAUGUCCAAACUGUAUCAUUUAGAGGAAGUAAAAGUCGUAACA